ACAAAACGGUGUAUAAUAAAUAAAGAUAAACAAAACCCUCGGUUCUUAGGGAGAGGAGAUAAAAAAGACGAAAAAGAAAAACCCAGGAUUUCAAAACUAAACCAAAAGAGUGCGAGGAAACUCCAAAUCGAAACAUAAAGGAGCCCUGGCUGAGGAUGAAGAAAACCUUAAUCUAGCGCAACUAGGAUCGGGCAUUCAGCCUUCAUCGCCAACACAGCCAUAUCAGGUACAUCCUCUACCCAAAAACGGACUUCCCUGAAAGUAGAUCUUGCUUUAGCUAGAAUAUGGGGCCACCCUAUUCGCAUUCCGAUCAACAAAUCUAAAAAUUAUUCUAUCAAACAUUCUAGCUCUUUACUUAAUUUUCAACAUAAACCCCGAUGGCAGAUCUAGCCCUACCCUUCUCAAUGAUACGUACAAUGGUAGAUCUUGAGUCCCCUUCAACCACUAAAUUCGAAAAACCCAUGUCAGUGGCAAAAUGCAGACCGUCGAGGCAAGCAAGCACUUCACCCACGAAAGGAUCAGAGACAAAAUUGUUCCUUACCAUUCCACUUCCCAAAACCUGGCCUUGGGCAUUCCUAACAACAAAACCAGAAUAAGACUGAUGGCUUUGGCCAUGAAAAGUAGUAUCAAAGUUAAGCUUGAGCAUCAGAUCCAUCGGGGGGUCCAGCUUUGCUUCAUCGUUAUUCUCGCCUUAGGAAAUUUCGCUCUUAGCUCCUUUAGUUCACAAACAAGGCUAAUUAUUUUGGCACUAACUUCUAGUGCAUGUUGUUCUUUCCUUUCCAUGACAUGUCUAUUCUGAGCGAACCACAAAGCCUAAAUUGUAAUGGCGAUGAUAGAACAGGCGUGGAUGUCACUUGAUCUUAUUAGGUAAGUAAACCAACUCCAGUAGUCCUUAUGGUUACCAGAUAGAGACCAUUCAAGUUUAACCCAUCUCUAAACUUCCUAUGUCAGACCACACUGUAUACUUAUAUGUAGUGGAGUCUUAGCUUCAAUAUUACAACGAGGACACAUAGGGGAAGAAGCAAGUCUUCUAUUGUAAAGUAUAGAUGCUGUAGGAAUAAAUUUGUGUAACAUUCUCCAAUUUGCUAUCUUAAUUUUGGGAGUGAUUUGGAGAGACCAAAUUUUUUAUAAAAGUCAAUAUUACCUUUGGUAGAGUCUGAAUAAUCGGGGGCAUAUGUUAACAUUUGGUAGCCACUCCUGACUGUAAAGUCCUGUAUGUUCUCCUUUCCAAACUGGCACAUUAUCAUCAACAUAUUCAGACAGUGGAGUACAGUAGAUGGCCGUGGCAAUCUCAAAGGGAAACAAUCUG
This 1309-nucleotide long non-coding RNA is filed under the name Gossypium barbadense (sea-island cotton). RNAcentral's name for it is "long non-coding RNA (GBAR_LNC017982)". Lineage: Eukaryota; Viridiplantae; Streptophyta; Magnoliopsida; Malvales; Malvaceae. The record is from RNAcentral.